This is a non-coding RNA of Dirofilaria immitis (dog heartworm nematode), 70 nucleotides long. Lineage: Eukaryota; Metazoa; Nematoda; Chromadorea; Rhabditida; Onchocercidae. The record is from the annotation of a GenBank genome assembly.
AGGGGAUUAGCUCAGAGGUAGAGCGCUCGCUUUGCAUGCGAGAGGUCGGGGUUCGAUUCCCCAUCCUCCA